GCGGGAUCUGCUCUCUCCUGGGAAGACGGCUGUUGAGCAAUUACAACCAAAGGUGCUGAAUGGGGAGUAUUCUGAUAGGAAGAGCCUGGGCCCGGAGGCGAAAGAAGGUCAAUUUGGCCAGAGCUUACUGUUUUCUAUUCCCUAAAACAUCAGAUUCCAGUGGCUUAAUGUCUAGGGUCGCUGAAUAAAUAACUCCAAACACUGCUCCACUAGAAAGAAGAGCUAACAUGUGUGGAACUCUUGCCAUGUGGCUGGGCACUGAGCCAAGUCCUUUACAAAGAUGGUCUCCCUUAAUCCUCCCAGGAAUCCUGAGUUCGGAACCCCAUAUCACAGAUGAAGAAGCUGAGGCUGAAAGAGGAUAAGCAUGUUGUCUGUGGUCACAUCGAAUGAAGUGGCAUAGCCACAAAUUAAACCCUGGUCUGUCUGAUUCCAGAGCUCACGGUAACAACCAUGGAUGCUUUUUUCCCCCACAUGCCCAGGAACUGGAAAACCUGUAACAAAAGGCACUGAGAACUCAGGGCCAAGAGAGCCUCUGCACCUUCCCAGCUUACUCCCAAAGAGCCACGAGCUGUGCAGGGAUGGUCUCAGCCCAUGGGAACAAGAGCGGGAACUUGGGGUGACCACGUCAGAGAGCAUCUUGGGAGAUGAUUCAUCUACAAAUUGAGUAGUCCCUAAGUUUGACCCGGGAUGGGGAGAGUAGCUAGCGGUGCUGGUGGUGAUUCGGGCUUGCCAGUGAGUGACCUGUCUUCUAUCACAUGAGAUGUUCCUGAAUUGCUACCAUGACUCAGCUUGAGUCUGUACAACCGUGAAUACAACCGUGAGCUUCCUCAGCAGCCUCUCUUCACGCCCCCCACAUGGUUUGAGAUGAGUCUGUGCUCAUGGGCACUGCUGAGUUUGUGUCACGUAUUCUCAAUGAAGGCAUGAGUGAGUCAUGUUUCCAUGUGUCUCCCCGUCAGUUCUAUUUGCUGUUCUGUAGUUACCACAGGCUUAGUCCAUACACCAUCUCCUUCCUCGGAGGGAUUCUUUUACCCCAUAUCUCAAUUAUUGUUAAAUAUGUCACCUUCCUUUCCAGACUCAAGCACAGUGAGCCUCAGAGUUGAAUUAAUCUGCCUAAACCCCACUAACUACAGGGGUACUGCCUCUUCUUGACAACAGCUAGUACUACUCUACUGGUGCAAUACUGCAACUACCACCACCA
Molecule: long non-coding RNA, 1198 nt
Filed under: Equus caballus (horse)
Lineage: Eukaryota; Metazoa; Chordata; Mammalia; Perissodactyla; Equidae
Description: lncRNA (ENSECAG00000034089.3)
Source: RNAcentral